This 69-nucleotide transfer RNA is filed under the name Indirana semipalmata. RNAcentral's name for it is "tRNA-His". It matches the Rfam family "tRNA". Rfam says of the family: Transfer RNA (tRNA) molecules are approximately 80 nucleotides in length. The record is from RNAcentral. Lineage: Eukaryota; Metazoa; Chordata; Amphibia; Anura; Ranixalidae.
GUGAUCAUAGUUUAACAAAAACCCUAGAUUGUGAUUCUAAAGAUAAGGGAUAACAACCUUUUGAUCACC